GAUGAACGCUGGCGGCGUGCCUAAUACAUGCAAGUCGAGCGAACGGACGAGAAGCUUGCUUUUCUGAUGUUAGCGGCGGACGGGUGAGUAACACGUGGAUAACCUACCUAUAAGACUGGGAUAACUUCGGGAAACCGGAGCUAAUACCGGAUAAUAUUUUGAACCGCAUGGUUCAUAAGUGAAAGACGGUCUUGCUGUCACUUAUAGAUGGAUCCGCGCUGCAUUAGCUAGUUGGUAAGGCAACGGCUUACCAAGGCAACGAUGCAUAGCCGACCUGAGAGGGUGAUCGGCCACACUGGAACUGAGACACGGUCCAGACUCCUACGGGAGGCAGCAGUAGGGAAUCUUCCGCAAUGGGCGAAAGCCUGACGGAGCAACGCCGCGUGAGUGAUGAAGGUCUUCGGAUCGUAAAACUCUGUUAUUAGGGAAGAACAUAUGUGUAAGUAACUGUGCACAUCUUGACGGCACCUAAUCAGAAAGCCACGGCUAACUACGUG
Molecule: ribosomal RNA, 497 nt
Filed under: uncultured bacterium
Lineage: Bacteria
Description: partial 16S ribosomal RNA
Rfam family: Bacterial small subunit ribosomal RNA
Source: RNAcentral